AACGAACGCUGGCGGCAUGCCUAACACAUGCAAGUCGAACGAGACCUUCGGGUCUAGUGGCGCACGGGUGCGUAACGCGUGGGAACCUGCCUUUAGGUUCGGAAUAACUCAGAGAAAUUUGAGCUAAUACCGGAUGAUGUCUUCGGACCAAAGAUUUAUCGCCUUUAGAUGGGCCCACGUUGGAUUAGCUAGUUGGUGGGGUAAAGGCCUACCAAGGCGACGAUCCAUAGCUGGUCUGAGAGGAUGAUCAGCCACACUGGGACUGAGACACGGCCCAGACUCCUACGGGAGGCAGCAGUGGGGAAUAUUGGACAAUGGGCGAAAGCCUGAUCCAGCAAUGCCGCGUGAGUGAUGAAGGCCUUAGGGUUGUAAAGCUCUUUUACCCGAGAUGAUAAUGACAGUAGCGGGAGAAUAAGCGCCGGCUAACUCCGUG
Molecule: ribosomal RNA, 433 nt
Filed under: uncultured bacterium
Lineage: Bacteria
Description: partial 16S ribosomal RNA
Rfam family: Bacterial small subunit ribosomal RNA
Source: RNAcentral